This 87-nucleotide transfer RNA is filed under the name Candidatus Erwinia haradaeae. RNAcentral's name for it is "transfer RNA Leucine". It matches the Rfam family "tRNA". Rfam says of the family: Transfer RNA (tRNA) molecules are approximately 80 nucleotides in length. Their secondary structure includes four short double-helical elements and three loops (D, anti-codon, and T loops). Lineage: Bacteria; Pseudomonadati; Pseudomonadota; Gammaproteobacteria; Enterobacterales; Erwiniaceae. The record is from RNAcentral.
GCGAAGAUGGCGAAAUUGGUAGACGCACUAGCUUCAGGGGUUAGCGUCCGAAAAGACGUGAGGGUUCAAGUCCCUCUCUUCGUACCA